UUCGCAAUGCCCGAAAGGGUGACGAAGCGACGCCGCGUGUGGGAAGAAGGCCUUCGGGUUGUAAACCACUGUCGGGAGUUAAGAAAUGUAAGGGUGUUAAUAGCGCCUUUGCUUGACUAAGGCUCCGGAGGAAGCCACGGCUAACUCUGUGCCAGCAGCCGCGGUAAUACAGAGGCGGCAAGCGUUGUUCGGAAUUAUUGGGCGUAAAGAGCACGUAGGCGGCUGUGUAGGUCGGUUGUGAAAGCCUUCUGCUUAACGGAAGAACAGCAUCCGAUACUGCAUAGCUCGAGUGCGGGAGGGGAGAGUGGAACUUCUGGUGGAGCGGUGAAAUGCGUAGAUAUCAGAAGGAACGCCGGCGGCGAAAGCGACUCUCUGGCCCGUAACUGACGCUGAGUGUGCGAAAGCUAGGGGAGCAAACGGGAUUAGAUACCCCGGUAGUCCUAGCCGUAAACGAUGGGCACUAAGUAGAGGGGUUUU
Molecule: ribosomal RNA, 477 nt
Filed under: uncultured bacterium
Lineage: Bacteria
Description: bacterial SSU rRNA
Rfam family: Bacterial small subunit ribosomal RNA
Source: RNAcentral